Long non-coding RNA from Gasterosteus aculeatus aculeatus (three-spined stickleback), 181 nucleotides. RefSeq lists it as uncharacterized. The record is from RefSeq and is a predicted model, not a curated record. NCBI's taxonomy places the organism in Eukaryota, Metazoa, Chordata, Actinopteri, Perciformes, Gasterosteidae.
AGAGGAGAGAGUUUAUGAAAAUGUGAGGAUGGAAACAGCUGCAGAUGGAUAAAAACAUCUGCAUGGACAGAACCAGGGGAACGGAUGACGACAUGAAAAACCACAUCUUUGUCUUUCUGAGUAAUUAUUGUGUCAACUUCUUCUUUCCUGAUAUGAGACAGUAUUUUGCAGUUAACCCACG